UACGGGGGGGGCAAGCGUUGUUCGGAAUUACUGGGCGUAAAGGGCCCGUAGGCGGUCAAUUAAGUCGGAUGUGAAAUCCCCAGGCUCAACUUGGGAACUGCAUCCGAGACUGCAUUGCUGGAGUACGGAAGAGGAAGGCGGAAUUCCCGGUGUAGCGGUGAAAUGCGUAGAUAUCGGGAGGAACAUCAGUGGCGAAGGCGGCCUUCUGGUCCAGUACUGACACUCAAGUGCGAAAGCGUGGGGAGCAAACAGG
Molecule: ribosomal RNA, 253 nt
Filed under: uncultured bacterium
Lineage: Bacteria
Description: partial 16S ribosomal RNA
Rfam family: Bacterial small subunit ribosomal RNA
Source: RNAcentral